UCCGCUCAGGAUGAACGCUGGCGGCGUGCCUAAUACAUGCAAGUCGAGCGAACAGACAAGGAGCUUGCUCCUUUGACGUUAGCGGCGGACGGGUGAGUAACACGUGGGUAACCUACCUAUAAGACUGGGAUAACUUCGGGAAACCGGAGCUAAUACCGGAUAAUAUUUCGAACCGCAUGGUUCGAUAGUGAAAGAUGGUUUUGCUAUCACUUAUAGAUGGACCCGCGCCGUAUUAGCUAGUUGGUAAGGUAACGGCUUACCAAGGCGACGAUACGUAGCCGACCUGAGAGGGUGAUCGGCCACACUGGAACUGAGACACGGUCCAGACUCCUACGGGAGGCAGCAGUAGGGAAUCUUCCGCAAUGGGCGAAAGCCUGACGGAGCAACGCCGCGUGAGUGAUGAAGGUCUUCGGAUCGUAAAACUCUGUUAUUAGGGAAGAACAUACGUGUAAGUAACUAUGCACGUCUUGACGGUACCUAAUCAGAAAGCCACGGCUAACUACGUGCCAGCAGCCGCGGUAAUACGUAGGUGGCAAGCGUUAUCCGGAAUUAUUGGGCGUAAAGCGCGCGUAGGCGGUUUUUUAAGUCUGAUGUGAAAGCCCACGGCUCAACCGUGGAGGGUCAUUGGAAACUGGAAAACUUGAGUGCAGAAGAGGAAAGUGGAAUUCCAUGUGUAGCGGUGAAAUGCGCAGAGAUAUGGAGGAACACCAGUGGCGAAGGCGACUUUCUGGUCUGUAACUGACGCUGAUGUGCGAAAGCGUGGGGAUCAAACAGGAUUAGAUACCCUGGUAGUCCACGCCGUAAACGAUGAGUGCUA
RNAcentral lists this ribosomal RNA (817 nucleotides) under Staphylococcus sp. KSUM_20. Its description in RNAcentral is "bacterial SSU rRNA". It matches the Rfam family "Bacterial small subunit ribosomal RNA", at positions 19 to 818 of the family's 1533-position model. Lineage: Bacteria; Bacillati; Bacillota; Bacilli; Caryophanales; Staphylococcaceae. The record is from RNAcentral.